RNAcentral lists this unclassified non-coding RNA (424 nucleotides) under soil metagenome. RNAcentral describes it as "partial contains 5.8S ribosomal RNA, internal transcribed spacer 2, and large subunit ribosomal RNA". The stretch from base 1 to 120 matches the Rfam family "5.8S ribosomal RNA", at positions 35 to 154 of the family's 154-position model. The record is from RNAcentral.
GAUGAAGAACGCAGCGAAAUGCGAUACGUAAUGUGAAUUGCAGAAUUCAGUGAAUCAUCGAAUCUUUGAACGCAUAUUGCGCUCUCUGGUAUUCCGGAGAGCAUGCUUGUUUGAGUAUCAGUAAACACCUCAACUCCCUUUCUUCUUGAAAUGGAGCUGGACUUGAGUGAUCCCAACGCUUUAUUCAUAAAGUGGCGGGUUACUUGAAAUGCAGGUGCAUCUGGACUUUUCUCUGAGCUAUAAGCAUAUCUAUUUAGUCUGCCUCAAAACAGAUUAUUACCUUUGCUGCAGCUAACAUAAAGGAGAUUAGUUCUUGUGCUGACUGAUGCAGGAUUCACAAAGACCGCUUCGGCUGUCUUUGUAAACUCGAUCUCAAAUCAAGUAAGACUACCCGCUGAACUUAAGCAUAUCAAUAAGCGGAGGA